GACGAACGCUGGCGGCGUGCUUAACACAUGCAAGUCGAACGGAAAGGCCCUGCUUUUGUGGGGUGCUCGAGUGGCGAACGGGUGAGUAACACGUGAGUAACCUGCCCUUGACUUUGGGAUAACUUCAGGAAACUGGGGCUAAUACCGGAUAGGAGCUCCUGCUGCAUGGUGGGGGUUGGAAAGUUUCGGCGGUUGGGGAUGGACUCGCGGCUUAUCAGCUUGUUGGUGGGGUAGUGGCUUACCAAGGCUUUGACGGGUAGCCGGCCUGAGAGGGUGACCGGCCCAAUGGGACUGGGGAGAGGGCCCGGACGCCAAGGGGGGGAAGGGGGGGGAAAUUUUGCAAAAGGGGCGAAGGCCGGAGCAAGAAACCCCGGGUGGGGAAGAAGGGCCUUGGGGUUGAAAACGCUUUUCGCUUUGACCGAGGGGGGGUGACGGUAAAGGGGGAAAAAACCACGGGUAACUUCGUG
This 467-nucleotide ribosomal RNA is filed under the name uncultured bacterium. Its description in RNAcentral is "partial 16S ribosomal RNA". It matches the Rfam family "Bacterial small subunit ribosomal RNA", at positions 28 to 507 of the family's 1533-position model. The record is from RNAcentral.